This 495-nucleotide ribosomal RNA is filed under the name uncultured bacterium. Its description in RNAcentral is "bacterial SSU rRNA". It matches the Rfam family "Bacterial small subunit ribosomal RNA", at positions 29 to 536 of the family's 1533-position model. The record is from RNAcentral.
AUUGAACGCUGGCGGCAUGCCUUACACAUGCAAGUCGAACGGCAGCACGGGGGCAACCCUGGUGGCGAGUGGCGAACGGGUGAGUAAUACAUCGGAACGUGCCCAAUCGUGGGGGAUAACGUAGCGAAAGUUACGCUAAUACCGCAUACGAUCUACGGAUGAAAGCGGGAGAUCGCAAGACCUCGCGCGAGUGGAGCGGCCGAUAUCAGAUUAGCUAGUUGGUGGGGUAAAGGCCCACCAAGGCGACGAUCUGUAGCUGGUCUGAGAGGACGACCAGCCACACUGGGACUGAGACACGGCCCAGACUCCUACGGGAGGCAGCAGUGGGGAAUAUUGCGCAAUGGGGGGGAACCCUGACGCAGCGACGCCGCGUGAAGGAAGAAGGCCUUCGGUUGUAACGUUACUUUGUAUGAGGGACGAAGGAAGUGACGGUACCGUCAAAACAAAGACCACGGCAACUACCGUAGCCAGCAGCCGCGGUAAGGAGUAGGUACA